AACGAACGCUGGCGGCAUGCCUAACACAUGCAAGUCGAACGAGACCUUCGUGUCUAGUUGCUCACGGGUGCGUAACGCGUGGGAACCUUCCCUUAGGUUCGGAAUACCUCCCCUACGUGGGUGCUAAUACCGGAUAAUUUCUUCUGACCAAAGAUUUAUCCACUUUGGAUGGGCCCGCGUUGGAUUAGCUAGUGGGUAUUGUAAAAGCCUAUCACGGCUACGAUACAUAGCUGGUCUGAGAGGAUGAUCAGCCACACUGGGACUGAGACACGGCCCAGAAUACUACGGGAGGGAGGAGUGGGGAAUAUUGGAAAACGGGCGAAAGCCAGAACCAGCAAUGGCGCGUGAGUGAUGAAGGUCGGAGGGUAGAAAAGCAGUUUUACACGGGAUGAUAAUGACAGUACCGGGAGAAUAAGCACCGGCUAACUCCGUG
This 433-nucleotide ribosomal RNA is filed under the name uncultured bacterium. RNAcentral describes it as "partial 16S ribosomal RNA". It matches the Rfam family "Bacterial small subunit ribosomal RNA", at positions 29 to 507 of the family's 1533-position model. The record is from RNAcentral.